Long non-coding RNA from Felis catus (domestic cat), 925 nucleotides. RefSeq lists it as uncharacterized. The record is from RefSeq and is a predicted model, not a curated record. The transcript is spliced from 3 exons. Lineage: Eukaryota; Metazoa; Chordata; Mammalia; Carnivora; Felidae.
AGCAGAUCCAUAUAUAUCUAAACUUUUAAAAAAUCCAUACCAACCUUUUCCUGGUCCACAAUGCAUGAAGUCUUGGUUAAUACAUUUAAUUUUUGCUGAAUAAAUAGAUGACUAAAUGCUUAACCAUAACUGUCUGUGAGAAUCUGAGUGCUUGUACUGAGAGUUUGCCUAUGCCUUCAAGUGUUUAUUUAUUGUUGAGAGAGAAAGUGAGCAAAAGAGGGGCAGAGAGAGAGGGGGACAGAGGAUCUGAAGCUGGAAGGCGGACAGCCGGAUGCGGGGCUCAAACCCAUGAGCUGUGAAACCAUGACCUGAGCUGGAGUCUGAUGCUUAACUAACUGAGCGACCCAGGCACCCCUGCCUGUGCCUCCAAACCCUGCAUAUCACCAUACCUCAUCUUUAUAGCCAGGCCUGACCUUACAAUUCUUAAAGGAAGGAAGUGACUGCCACACUAUACAACCUCCUAGGAUGUUUGCUUAAGGAUGGAGAGUCAUAAACGGAUAUUCAGGUUUGAAGGCACAACCCUGUAAUCAAGAGUCAUACACUCUACUGACUGAGCCAGCCAGAUGUCUCUAAGCUCAUUACAUGUGAAGGCGACUUCAGCUGCUUCCUGGAACGGGCCAGGACACAGGGAUGAUGUUCCACGGAUAAGGCUGUGCUGUGCCAGGCGAGGCCCAGACGCACAUCUGGAUGCUUAAACCCCAGCAUACAAUGGCAGCCAGAUGGCUUCAUCUGUCCUUUGAACGUGUCUGUCCUUUUAAAUUCCAGCUUAACGGCCACGUGUUUUAGGCCACUUUUAUCAUCCCAAAAUAGCGCUCUGACCAUGUCUGCAAAGAAGGGCCCCUGAAGCAAACGCAGUGGGCUGGCUGCCAAGGCUGGCAGAAUGAGACACAGUACUUGAAAUAAAUGCAGGGUGUUUGCUUACAGA